Molecule: ribosomal RNA, 265 nt
Filed under: uncultured archaeon
Lineage: Archaea
Description: partial 16S ribosomal RNA
Rfam family: Archaeal small subunit ribosomal RNA
Source: RNAcentral
CACGACUACAUUAGAUACCCGCGUAGUCCCAGCCCUAAACGAUGCGCGUUAGGUGUAUCGGUGACCACGAGUCACCGAGGUGCCGAAGGGAAACCGUGAAACGUGCCGCCUGGGAAGUACGGUCGCAAAGGCUGAAACCUAAAGGAAUUGGCGGGGGAGCACCACAACGGGUGGAGCCUGCGGUUUAAUUGGACUCAACGCCGGGAAGCUCACCGGAUAAGACAGCGGAAUGAUUGCCGGGCUGAAGACCCUGCAUGACCAGCUG